UCUGACGGANCACGCCGCGUGAGUGAUGAAGGCUUUCGGGUCGUAAAACUCUGUUGUUAGGGAAGAACAAGUACGAGAGUAACUGCUCGUACCUUGACGGUACCUAACCAGAAAGCCACGGCUAACUACGUGCCAGCAGCCGCGGUAAUACGUAGGUGGCAAGCGUUAUCCGGAAUUAUUGGGCGUAAAGCGCGCGCAGGCGGUUUCUUAAGUCUGAUGUGAAAGCCCACGGCUCAACCGUGGAGGGUCAUUGGAAACUGGGGAACUUGAGUGCAGAAGAGAAAAGCGGAAUUCCACGUGUAGCGGUGAAAUGCGUAGAGAUGUGGAGGAACACCAGUGGCGAAGGCGGCUUUUUGGUCUGUAACUGACGCUGAGGCGCGAAAGCGUGGGGAGCAAACAGGAUUAGAUACCCUGGUAGUCCACGCCGUAAACGAUGAGUGCUAAGUGUUAGAGGGUUUCCGCCCUUUAGUGCUGCAGCUAACGCAUUAAGCACUCCGCCUGGGGAGUACGGUCGCAAGACUGAAACUCANGGUUUUUGACGGGGGGA
RNAcentral lists this ribosomal RNA (547 nucleotides) under bacterium MC169. RNAcentral's name for it is "bacterial SSU rRNA". It matches the Rfam family "Bacterial small subunit ribosomal RNA", at positions 382 to 921 of the family's 1533-position model. The record is from RNAcentral.